This 501-nucleotide ribosomal RNA is filed under the name uncultured bacterium. RNAcentral describes it as "partial 16S ribosomal RNA". It matches the Rfam family "Bacterial small subunit ribosomal RNA", at positions 30 to 523 of the family's 1533-position model. The record is from RNAcentral.
AUUGAACGCUGGCGGCAUGCCUUACACAUGCAAGUCGAACGGCAGCACGGGUGCUUGCACCUGGUGGCGAGUGGCGAACGGGUGAGUAAUACAUCGGAACGUACCUUAUCGUGGGGGAUAACGCAGCGAAAGCUGUGCUAAUACCGCAUACGCCCUGAGGGGGAAAGCGGGGGAUCGAAAGACCUCGCGCGAUUAGAGCGGCCGAUGCCUGAUUAGCUUGUUGGUGGGGUAAAAGCCCACCAAGGCGACGAUCAGUAGCUGGUCUGAGAGGACGAUCAGCCACACUGGGAGUGAGACACGGCCCAGACUGCUACGGGCGGCAGCAGUGUGGAAUUUUGGACAAUGGGGGCAACCCUGAUCCAGCAAUGCCGCGUGAGUGAAGAAGGCCUUCGGGUUGUAAAGCUCUUUUGUCAGGGAAGAAACAGCAGCUCUAACACAGUCUGCGAAUGACGGUACCUGAAGAAUAAGCACCGGCUAACUACGUGCCAGCCGCCGCAGUAA